This 287-nucleotide ribosomal RNA is filed under the name Bacillus velezensis. RNAcentral's name for it is "partial 16S ribosomal RNA". It matches the Rfam family "Bacterial small subunit ribosomal RNA", at positions 62 to 339 of the family's 1533-position model. Lineage: Bacteria; Bacillati; Bacillota; Bacilli; Caryophanales; Bacillaceae. The record is from RNAcentral.
UCGAGCGGACAGAUGGGAGCUUGCUCCCUGAUGUUAGCGGCGGACGGGUGAGUAACACGUGGGUAACCUGCCUGUAAGACUGGGAUAACUCCGGGAAACCGGGGCUAAUACCGGAUGGUUGUUUGAACCGCAUGGUUCAGACAUAAAAGGUGGCUUCGGCUACCACUUACAGAUGGACCCGCGGCGCAUUAGCUAGUUGGUGAGGUAACGUCUCACCAAGGCUACGAUGCGUAGCCGACCUGAGAGGGUGAUCGGCCACACUGUUACUGAGACACCCCCCAUACUCC